This 253-nucleotide ribosomal RNA is filed under the name uncultured bacterium. Its description in RNAcentral is "partial 16S ribosomal RNA". It matches the Rfam family "Bacterial small subunit ribosomal RNA", at positions 524 to 776 of the family's 1533-position model. The record is from RNAcentral.
UACGGAGGGGGCUAGCGUUGUUCGGGAUUACUGGGCGGAAAGCGCACGUCGGCGGAUUGUUAAGUCGGGGGUGAAAUCCCGAGGCUCAACCCCGGAAUGGCCUCCGAUACUGGCAAUCUUGAGGUCGGGAGAGGUGAGUGGAAUGGCGAGUGUAGAGGUGAAAUUCGUAGAUGUUCGCCGGAACACCAGUGGCGACGGCGGCUCACUGGCCCGAUACUGACGCUGAGGUGCGACAGCAUGGGGAUCAAACAGG